Molecule: long non-coding RNA, 4276 nt
Organism: Ictalurus furcatus (blue catfish)
Lineage: Eukaryota; Metazoa; Chordata; Actinopteri; Siluriformes; Ictaluridae
Exons: 3
Source: RefSeq, a predicted model, not a curated record
CUCACAGCUUAUUAGUUAUCAUUAGUAAAGAUGUGGAACAGACGCAGCCAGAUUUUUUGCUGCAAACAUCACGGACAGAUUUAGCAUGAAACCGAACCCGAGCGCUCUAAGGAGACGCAUUCGUAAUGGCAGGUGUGAACAGCUGUGCAUCUCGGCUGUCAAUGUGAAAUCAGAUCACUCAAGACUGAUGUUAACGUCAGGUGUGAACGGAUCCUAAGGGACAGUAUUUGCAGUUCCCGUUUGCAACUCACUUUGGAGCUUCAAAGAAUCAAUCUGCGUCCUCAAAGAAGAAGAAGAAGAAGAAGGAGUGCACUUCAAGAACCCGGAUGAUGCACUUAAUCAACCGAAAAAACAAAGCGUGGGCAUGAAUGUCGGAGCAGAAAGGGGGCGGAGCUACCAGGCACUGACGCUACGGGGGACAAAAGAUCAAUUUAACGUGAAUUCGUUCAAUUUAUUCAGUGCUCAUUGCUGAUUUUUUAAAUGCACGUAUUUACUUUACUUUGUUUCUUUCAUUAUAUUUUUGUCCUGUGUUUAUUUUAUUCCUUUUUUUUUCAUCUAAUUUUCUUGCAAACUAGUUGAAUCUCUUUAAUCAUGCUUUAUUUAUCUUUUCCUGGCUUUCAUAUUGCUCUGAAAAAGCUUUGUAACUUGUGUUUUUUUAACUACAUAAACAUUAUUAUUAUUAUUAUUAUUAUUAUUAUUAUUAUUAUUAUUAUCAUUAUUAUGGAGUGAACAAGGAUGAAAGGACUGGUGAGACAGAAAAACAACCUGACAUUUGAACGCAGGGAGAAAAAGAAGAUCACAGCAUAGUACCUUUUCCAUUUUGUGUCUCUCAGAUAAAAUCACAGAGAAAAAGCAUUUCAGAAGCUCUACAAACACAAAAGUCUGGGUUUUUUCUUUUUUUUUUCCUUCUGAAGUGGUUCAUCUUUACAUUAUAAUGACACGCGGUGGUGUUUAUAACAUGUCCGGGCUUUUGUAGGAACAUCUCUCCGAUCGGCGAGCUUGCUAAAUAGAUCAAAUAAAUAAAUAAAUAAAUAAACAGCGUAAAGCAGAGAACGGGGGGUGCGGGGGGGAUGGAAAUCAGGCAGGAAAAUGAGGGUCGAAUGAGAGAGCAGGAAGGCACCGUCAGGACGAAUCAAAGAGCAAUCAGGCUCCGUAAGAAGUGCGCGAGAGAACAAUGGCAAGCCGUGAUUAGCGAGAGCGAUGAGAAACGCGUGAUUGCGAGAGAGGUGUGUGUCAGUUAUCCAAUCACUUAGCAUUUUCUUUUCUUUUUUUUUCUCUCCGCAGGUAUUUGAGGGAAGCAGGAUGAGGGUAUGGAUCAGGGAACGACGAGUGCGUUCAGGAAAAUUGAACCGGUAGCGAUUUUACACACCGUUUUACACGCCGUCACGUCGACGGUCGGAAAAUCCACGUCUUCGAGAGUCGAGCCCAGGAACAGGAACGGCUUCCGUCACAUGGGGAAUCUUCAGGAAAAGCAGCACAGUGUGUUCUUACUGACACACAGCUCUCUCUUACAGCAGAAGAGCUUCUGGAACUUUCUCUCACGUUGUUAUUAUCAUCAUCGAAACUGACGAAUCAAAUCGACAAUCGUGACAGUUUUCUUCCCUGGGGAAUCACACACUCGUGCAUCGUUGCCGUCUUAAAACAUUUUGAACCCUUAACAGUCUCUCUGAAAGAACAUUUAAAGAUUCCCCUCAUCGAAAAUCCUUUUUAGGAAGCUACAAAACUCUUAACUGUCCCUCAUCAGCCAAUCACAAACAUGAGCUAACCUUUUAUGUGCUUUUUUUUAUGUGGAAAACUACUUGAAUUGGCGAGUCACGGUGAUGUUUGUUGGUAAAUGAGACCUUGUAGCUGUACUCAUGAAUCAAAGAGUGCUUUGGAUGGAUGCGCAUCGCGAUGAUGUCACAUGGUGCGUCUCGACCCAAAUCUGCAGAAAAUCUGCACUAGUUUAAAAAAAAACAAACAAACAAAAAAAAAAAACGCAAGCUCCUUCGAACAUUGCGGCGGUUCUGUGAUUUUGCUUCAACGUCUUCGAUCGUAAAAUCCUGCUGGGACCGACUAACGAUGUUCGCUUGCUAGCUAGCAUAGAUUAGGCUAACUAUUACAUCCUGUAAUUAAACCUACUAGUUUAGUGUUUGCUAGUAGACUAGCUUGUCAUUGAAACAUUAAACAAUAGUACUAUUUCAUGCUAACUAGUGGUUGAGUGGACGAAAGAAAGACUAGCAGUGAUGUCAGACGAUCCAAGCUGUGAUUGGCUGCUCAAAUUUCCUCUAAGUCUUUGAAAUAGAAAUAGAAAUGACAGUUUCUAUUAAUUAAAGAUCAUCAUAGUUUUUAUCUGUUUAUAGUUUCAUUGAAUGUUCUGUGAAACAGGUCUGUUCUUGUUCUCACUUACAUUAAAGCAGCUGUAAACUGCCGUUCCCUCACCAGCCUCUCUUUUUUGUCUCUCUUAAAGUUAAUAAGACAAAAAAAAAAAAACACUAAAAGAAAAACGGUUAUUAGACGGUUACUAUAGAAACGAUAACGCGUUAGAACGAGCGCAUUAAUAUAAACCUGUGAUUUGAAGCUGUGCUGCUGUCAGAGCUGCCGUUAUAGGAAAUGAAUCAACAGCUUCUGUCCAAUCACGAUCCAGAAUUCCACAGCGUUGUGGUGUAAUGAGAACUUAACUCAGUUUUAGACUCAGAAAUGAGCAUAAAUUCAGGAGAAACACAGCGGCGUGGCUGGAUUUCACUCGUUAGGCAUUACGUGGCAGAUAAGUGGAGCUGAUGAAAUAUCUCAGAGAUAAGAACGGACAUUAAUGGGGCGGCGGCGUGGAGGCGAAGACUCAGAGCCGAUUUAUUUCAGAAACUUUUUAAAUGUUUUUUUUUCUCUUUUGAACACAGAGCGUAUUAAGGAGACCACGUGUGCAGAAAUAGACGUGAAGUCUUUGAUUUUGUUUCCACUUCAAUCGUAAUGGAAUCUCAUCGGCGUUUCUCCUGUCUGCGUAUGCGGGUCUUAACUGAUCCCAGCACUCUGAUGAAUUCCGUAUUUACUCCUCCGGAGACGUUCCUCGGAGAGACGGAACACAUGCCUCAUUAUUCUACAGCACCGUGCUGCCGGAAUGGGAAAAAAAUAAAAUCAUCCACAGCCGGGUUUGAAGAGCUCUUCUCUGUGAUUAGGACACGAUAUGUUUUUAUAUUUUUCAGCUUAUUACACAGGAGUCAUGCAUCAUUAUUUUAAUUAUCGUUACUGAUGAAGUGUGUGAAUGAUGUUAGAAAUGUUGUGACUCUGCUGACAUCUAUAUUUAUAUUUAUUCAUCUUUUUUUCUCUUUAUUUUAUUUUUCUGUGAUUGUAUUUAUUGUAUUUUUUCAUUUUUCUUCAUUUCCCUUUUAUUCCUUGUGUGAGUGUUCUAUCUAUCUAUCUAUCUGUAUGUCUGUCUGUCUAUGUUUAUCUGUUUGUCAAUCUAUUUGUCUAUCUGCCAUCAUCAAUAUCUGUCUUUCUAUCUGUUUGCCUGUGUUUGUCUGUUUACAUAUCUAUCUAUCUAUCUAUCUAUCUAUCUAUAUGUUUAUCUAUCUGCCAAUAAAUCUGUCUUUCUAUUUAUCUGUCUUUCUGUCUGUCUGUCUGUCUAUCUGUCUGACUAUUUAUCUAUCUGUCUGUCUGUUUAUCUGUCUGCCUGUCUAUGUAUCUAUCUAUAGAUUAUAAUAAUAAGAAUAAGAAUAAGGAUAAUUAUUAUUAUUAUUGCUAAAUCCCUCCUGCUCUAAAUACAUCAGCAUGUGUAAAUAAACAGAUUAAAAUCAUCACAAAACAUGAAUGUACAGAAAUUCUACUUAAGUUUGUGUGGCCAAUUAUGAACUGCUUAUAAACACUGCCUAUAAACACUGCCUAUACACACUGCCUAUACACACUGCCUAUACACACUGCCUAUACACACUGCUUAGAAACACUGCCUAUACACACUGCUUAGAAACACUGCCUAUACACACUGCCUAGAAACUCUGCCUAUACACACUGCUUAUAAACACUGCCUAUACACACUGCUUAGAAACACUGCCUAUACACACUGCCUAGAAACACUGCUUAUACACACUGCUUAGAAACACUGCCUAUACACACUACCUAUACACACUGCUUAUAAACACUGCCUAUACACAUUGCUUAGAAACACUGCCUACACACACUGCUUAUAAACACUGCCUAUAAACACUGCCUAUACACACUGCUUAGAAACACUGCCUACACACACUGCCUAUACACACUGCUUAGAAACACUGCCUAUACACACUGCCUAUACACACUGCUUAGA